RNAcentral lists this non-coding RNA (31 nucleotides) under Homo sapiens (human). Lineage: Eukaryota; Metazoa; Chordata; Mammalia; Primates; Hominidae. The record is from RNAcentral.
UGGCCUGGAAGAAGUUACCCUUUUUGGAUGA